Molecule: long non-coding RNA, 3021 nt
Filed under: Equus caballus (horse)
Lineage: Eukaryota; Metazoa; Chordata; Mammalia; Perissodactyla; Equidae
Description: lncRNA (ENSECAG00000056841.1)
Source: RNAcentral
UAUAUCUCAAGAGUUAUUUGGAAGAGGAUUUUCAAAUUUUCACCACCAGAUUAAAAAAACUCUAGCUAUUAAUUUUAAAUUUUUAUUUCACUGUGUUGAGAAUGUGUUUUACUUUGGAAUUUGUAGAAAUCGUCAUUGUGCCUGAAUAUCAUGAUCAUAAUUUAAAUGUUCCAUGGGAUUAUUCUUUUCAUGAAUGCAAGGUUUUGACAGCUCCAAAUACCCGCGAAUACUUCCAAUCCAGGGGUCUUCCCCCGUGCUGGGCACUCCCACGCGCCAUCUCAUCAUCAUCACAGCUAUGCUACAUGGGUGGGACUCAGAUGCCCCCAUUUUCCAGAUAAGGAAACUGACACCUGCGCAGGUGGCCAGAGCCCAGCCUCCCUCCCUCGCCUGAGCUCCUGCUUGUGCCAAGUCCUGAGGAAGAUGCUGGACCAGCACAUAGUCUGAUGGGGGAAACAGGGUCACGGGUGGGCUGCCUCCACAGUCAGCCUUCUCCUACACUCAGAGAACACAGCGGAGUGAGUGCCCAGCCCUCCUGUGGGACCCUCAGCAGCUGCUCUGUGCUGGCCCUUCUGCUGAGUGCUGUGAGGGUCUCUGAGGUGGCCUGGUGAUGAGUCUGGAUUUCUACAAGUCACAGAAACCUGACCAUGAUGGCUUAAACACAGACAGUCUUGCAGGAGGUGGUUCAAGCUGUGGCAGCCUCUUGAGAUGUCCUUCCGAUUUUCUGCUCCACUAUCCUCAGCAUGUGGAUUUCAUCCUUACGGCACAAAAUGGCUGCUUCACCUGCAGGAGACUCCGAAUUCCAUUUCACUGGCCAGCAAUGGGUCAAGUGGUCCAGCUAGCCGAAGAGGAGUCUGGGAGCGGCAGUGUCCUUUGCAUCGGAGCCCCUCCGUGGCCCCUGGAGCCAGAGAGGCUGGACGUGUCCACUUUCGCCCCAGCGCCAGGUGCUUUUCCCAUCUUCUCCUAGCCACGCCGAGAGAGGCAGUGCCAGCACGGCCCUUUCCACAGAGGGGGAAACAAGAGGCUCAGUCGCUUUCCCAAGCCGGUGGCUCUGGGAUGUGGCACAGAGAAGCCGAGGUGCCUCCUGGGGCGGUUGUUUAUCGAGCCCUCAUGAUGUGCCAGGCACCGCCUGGACGCCACAGCAAACUCUCUGCCCUCAAGGGGCCCACAUUCCCAGAUGAGACAGGAGCCGGGCAUUAACCCAACCGAGACGGCAUGGAAGGCCACAGUUCCAGGUGGGGAGCUACAAGAUGGGGAGCCCUCCUGCCUGGGUCCCUGAGAGACCGCUUGGAGCAGAGCAGCUGCCGUGAGAGGAACUUCCCCCGGGUGGAGCCGCCAAGGAGACCGUGGCCCUCAGGGCUGGGACGGUGCCAUUCCUAGGGCUGAGCCCUGGCUCUCUACCAGGCACGGAGUGAGUGAGUGGACGCCCCCCCUGCCCGGGAGCUGCAUCUGUUUGUUGAGCACCCGCUGCCCACCUGACUGGUCACAUACCCGCCACGCUGGGGAUCCACCUGUGCCGCCGUUGGCUCCUGCGGUCAUCACAUGUGCUUUUUCCCAACUUGGUGCUGCGACAUCAUCUGGAGUCGGCAGGAUGCAGAAUUAGGGUCUGGGAACCACAGCCAAAGGGGAAGAUGCGGGUGAGCAGACCUGGCUCUCUGUGCCAGGAUGGACAAGGGGAACCAGCCAGAGCACUGGCCUCACCGUGGCCACCAACCGCGGUCACCGAUUCUGCACAGUACCGGAACUUGAUUGGUCCAGCAAGUAUCGGCCGUGCACCUGUUGGGCGCCAAGCUGGUCGCCAGGGCCCCGGGAGGGAACAGCCUGCCUGCGCGGCCUCCCUGCCUGGCCUUGCUCUCUCCCAUGGCCUCCCAUCACCCUGGCUGCCUUCUGGAGCUGUAGAUGCUGUGUCCUGCAGGCCUGCCGUCUUCUGGAUCUUUUCCUUCCUGUCACCUGCCCUUCAGAGCUGACCCUAUUUCCUCCGCUUCUGGGAAUCCUUCUGUCUCCUUCUGCUCAGGAGAGUCUCCUUCCUCUGGGUACCAAUAGGCUUGAGUUUCUGGACUACCACAUCCAAAACUAAGCUCCCCCCCCCCAAACCUGCUCCUCCUCUUGGGUCUCGUCUCAGUGGGGCCCCUCCAGCCAAGCAGCCCCUUGAGCCAGACCUGGCCUCCUCCCUUGCCUCCUCUCUCAGCUCAUCCCCCAUCAACAGUCCAUCCAUCACCAAGUCCUGCCGGUUCUGCCUCCUCAGCAUCUCUCAGACCUGUCCACUCCCCUCCGUCCCCACUGCCACCGAGCUGAUCCAGGCCACCCUCAUCUCAGCUCCUGGCUGGUCUCUCAGCCCCUAACCUGCCCUCUAUUCUCCCCUUGGCAGCGGGGCGUCCUUCCACUGUGCACUCGCUCCAGGUGGCAGAAGUCCCCAUGGCUCCCGGCUGCCUCGGGUGCAGGGGAAGUCAGCUGUCAGUCUAACCGGGGUUCCCCUGAAAGUGAAUCUGGGAUAUUCUCCCUCCUUUGGUUUCUGCAGAUGGAUUGAGGCAUGGAUUCUUUGUAUUUAUUUUUCUGGGGACGCUGGGUAUCCUGAAUCUAUGAUUUGGUAUCUUUUAUCAGUUCUGGAAAAUUAUCAGCCACCAUCUCUUAAACAUGGUGUCUACCUGUUUUUCUCUCUUCUAGGGCUCUAAUUAAACUUGCUCUUUUCUACCCUCUCCUUUUCCCCAUCUUUGUGUCUCUCUGCAAUGCAUUCUGGAUAUUUUCUUUUGACUUAUUUUCUUUUGACCUAAUUCUUUCUUUGGCUGUAUUUACUCCAUUCUUAGACUCAUCCAUCGAGUGUUUUUAACGCUUUAUUAUUUUGGAAUGUAACACACAUGCAUGAAAUGCAUAAAUUGUAAAUAUACAGCUUUGCAGAAGAGUGAAAAACAAAUGUACAGUUUAAUAAAUGAUUAGAAACCAAACAUGUAUGGGACUAUUACUGACAGGUCAAGAAGUAAAGUCUCUGAGUUUUUUCUUUUAAAGAUUGACACCUGAGCUAACAUC